This 205-nucleotide long non-coding RNA is filed under the name Elaeis guineensis (African oil palm). RNAcentral's name for it is "long non-coding RNA (EGUI_LNC012477)". Lineage: Eukaryota; Viridiplantae; Streptophyta; Magnoliopsida; Arecales; Arecaceae. The record is from RNAcentral.
UGCUGAUAUCCACAUGAACAUGUUUCGAUUGGAACUUUGAAGCCCUCGGAGUGUUAGCUCCCUUGCAGGCUUCGUUCUUCAGCUUGGAUCAGUGCCCUUUACUUUAUAUCACUUGAAGCAGCCCUACUGCAGAUUUUUGGGGAUUGAACCAAAGACCAAAACUAAUCAAGAACUCCUUGAUUAUUUUUUCUAUCUCUUUAAGGCC